This is a non-coding RNA of Paramuricea clavata, 73 nucleotides long. The record is from the annotation of a GenBank genome assembly. Lineage: Eukaryota; Metazoa; Cnidaria; Anthozoa; Malacalcyonacea; Plexauridae.
AUUUCUGUAGUGGAGCGGCCAUCACAUGCGCAUUAUGCGCGCCACGUCCCCAGUUCAAUCCCGGGCAGAAGCA